Non-coding RNA from Oryza glaberrima (African rice), 200 nucleotides. The record is from Rfam. NCBI's taxonomy places the organism in Eukaryota, Viridiplantae, Streptophyta, Magnoliopsida, Poales, Poaceae.
CUCAUUAGUACCUAUGAGUUUCUAUGCUUAACUAUGAUCUUCCGUCUUAUUUGAAAAAUUUUUAUGGUUAGCAUUUUUCUAUUAUUAGACGAUAAACAUAAAUAUUACUUUAUGCAUGACUUUUAUUUUUAAUUUUAUUAAAAAAAGUAAAUAAGACGGACGAUCGAAGUUAGGCACCGAAAAUUAUGGCUAUACUUAGA